UCCAGAGGAGCCAAGCGUUGUCCGGAUUGACUGGGCGUAAAGCGCACGCAGGCGGUUGCGCGCGUGGGGUGUGAAAUCUGGCCGCUUAACGGCCAGGCGCCAUCCCAUACGGCGCGACUGGAGCGAUGCAGAGGUCGGUGGAAUUGCCGGUGUAGUGGUGGAAUGCGUAGAUAUCGGGGGGAACACCAGUGGCGAAGGCGGUUGCCUGGGGCUUUGCUGACGCUGAUGCGCGAAAGCGUGGGGAGCGAUCCGG
RNAcentral lists this ribosomal RNA (253 nucleotides) under uncultured bacterium. RNAcentral's name for it is "partial 16S ribosomal RNA". It matches the Rfam family "Bacterial small subunit ribosomal RNA", at positions 524 to 776 of the family's 1533-position model. The record is from RNAcentral.